This 253-nucleotide ribosomal RNA is filed under the name uncultured bacterium. RNAcentral describes it as "partial 16S ribosomal RNA". It matches the Rfam family "Bacterial small subunit ribosomal RNA", at positions 524 to 776 of the family's 1533-position model. The record is from RNAcentral.
UACGUAGGGGGCUAGCGUUGUCCGGAAUCAUUGGGCGUAAAGCGCGUGUAGGCGGCCCGGUAAGUCCGCUGUGAAAGUCAAGGGCUCAACCCUUGAAAGCCGGUGGAUACUGUCGGGCUAGAGUGCGGGAGAGGGAUGUGGAAUUCCGGGUGUAGCGGUGAAAUGCGUUGAGAUCGACAGGAACGCCGGUGGCGAAAGCGGGCCGCUGGCCCUCUUCUGACGCUGAGGCGCGAAAGCCAGGGGAGCGAACGGG